Long non-coding RNA from Homo sapiens (human), 1390 nucleotides. Ensembl annotates it as long intergenic non-protein coding RNA 2318. The record is from Ensembl. NCBI's taxonomy places the organism in Eukaryota, Metazoa, Chordata, Mammalia, Primates, Hominidae.
CCCUUACCAGCUGAAAGUUUCUAGACGAAGGGCAUAUACCAGUUAAACUCCGCCAUUUUGCCUCUCAGUGUUCAAGCUUGAGCCCACGCAUCCAACUCCUGAGAUCUUACUGGGAAGCUGCUGAUCAUCAGUUUCAGGAAGUCAGCAUGGAUCAGCCUUACGUUCAUGGCCUCCAGGCCCUAUUCUCCUGCCUCACAGGGACCGGCCAGGAUCUCUAUCCUUACAGCACGUUGGAAUGUAUAUGCUCCUCUCCCCACAUCGCCUUAGGGAGCAGGCAGGUGUCAGGGGCAGCACAAGGACGGCCAACAGGACAGUUCAGCAUGGCUGGGGAGGCCUCAGGAAACUUACAAUCAUGGCAGAAGGAGAAGCAAACACGUCCUUCUUCACAUGUCGUCGUCAUCAAGGAGAAGUGCUGAGCCAAAGGGGGAAAAGCCCUUGAGAAAACCAUCAAGUCUUAAGACGGGUUGAAGAUCCGAGAGGCUGAGUCACUUCCACAAAGUAACACAGCUGAUUUUAAAUGCCUGCAUUCAGCAUCCCUGCAGCAGGCUCCAGGUGGAAUUCUAAUGGGACCAGCCUCCAGUCCCUGGACCUUAGCCGUGGAAGGAGAGAAGAGGACAUCUGCACCUCCUCUCAGAGAAAGCCUGAUGCCUACUAAAGGACUUGGGUGGUGGACGCAGUGACCCUCAGUCUGGAGCUUGUUCACUGAACAUUGGAGACUAUCAUUUGCGCAGAUGGUCUUGGGCCUCUAUGAGCAGCAGGCUGCACCCCACAGUGACCUCCUCAUUCUACUCUGAGGCAUCUUCAUGAAAGCAGAUGUCCAUUGAAAAGCACCCAAGUGCAGUCUCAGCUGAUGAACUUCAGAGGCGAUUGAGACAAAGGCUCUCGGUCCCCUCUGCCCUUGGAUGGUGCCUCUGGUAUGCACUUGGCCUCUGUGUCUUUAUUUAGACUGGUCACUUCACAACCCAUCAUGUCACCCCACCCCUAACCGUGCCCACUCUGGGUCCUCCCCUCAACUGCCUGACUUCCCACUUUGAGCUCAGCAAAGGCAAUAGAUGUUUUGUCUGCUUCGAUACCCUAAAUGCAUGGCGUGGAAGCUGGCACACAGUGGGCCCUUGAAAUUUGGGAGUGAAUAUGUAUAUAUAUUAUAUUCCAACCUCAACUUUCCUCACUGCUCCUCAUAGUAGGAAUGGAUUGUAAAACUUCCCAGAAUGUUCAAGAGGAGAAAGGAGAGAAAACAGCCUGGAAUUUGAGCUAAGGGGCCCACAGCCCAGCCACCAAGCCAUCUGUAAAAUGGGGUGGGAAUAUGACAUGAGCCACAGGGGUGCUAUGAGGGUUAAUGAGGUCACCGUGCGAUGUACCAUGCCAACAUGAAUAACCAGACCUCUUGAUA